UGCCUUUCAAGUUAAGAUACAUGUUAUACAAAGUCAAUACAUUUUUGGAGGUCCUAUAGAAUGUUGCCACGUUGUCGUAAUACGUGAAGUCUUGCUUGAGAAUGUUCCUAAAUAAACCUUAAACCAAAUCCUAACCAAAUCCUAAACAAAUCCUAAACCAAAUCCUAAUCCAAAUCCUAAACCCUAAACAAAAUCCUAAUCCAAAACCUAAAUAAAAUCCUAACCAAAUCCUAAACCAAACCCUAAAUCAAACCCUAAACAAAUCUUAAACCAAAUUCUAAUACAAACCUUAAACCCUAAAUCAAACCCUAACUAAAUCCUAAAUCCUAAAUCAAAUCCUAACUAAAUCCUAAAUCAUAAAUAAAAUCCUAACCAAAUCCUAAACUAAAUCUUAAUCCUAAAUCAAAUCUUAAUCUAAAUCUUAAAGCCUAAAUCAAUUCCUAUACAAAUCCUAAAUCCUAAAUCGAACCCUAAUUCAAACCUUAAAUCCUAAAUCCUAAACCAAACCCUAAUCAAAUCCUAA
RNAcentral lists this long non-coding RNA (523 nucleotides) under Physcomitrium patens. RNAcentral describes it as "long non-coding RNA (PPAT_LNC013518)". The record is from RNAcentral. Lineage: Eukaryota; Viridiplantae; Streptophyta; Bryopsida; Funariales; Funariaceae.